UAAACAAUUGUCAGUAACAGCAAAUAACCACUGCCUUUUCUCUAUUCCUUUUGUUGGCCCAUGCCUGUUCCCAGAAUCAAGAACACUAAUAUCCCAGAGCUAAUAAACAGUUAAAUGCAUUCAGGCUGCAUGUGAACAAAUAAAUGCACACAAAUACUGUUUUCCACCUAACUCUGUCAUGACUUUCUGUGCACCAAUCCAUUCCCAGUGGUCACGCAGCACUGCAACUAUUACGUAACUGCAGCAGUAAUCUCUGAACAACUGAUGCAUGGGAUUCUGCACACUGUCCUUUGACAUUUUGAGAAUUAUUACAGUGACUUAUGCAUUUCUGCUUCAUGGUACAUUCCUAGCAG
This is a long non-coding RNA of Sphaeramia orbicularis (orbiculate cardinalfish), 353 nucleotides long. RefSeq lists it as uncharacterized. The record is from RefSeq and is a predicted model, not a curated record. Lineage: Eukaryota; Metazoa; Chordata; Actinopteri; Kurtiformes; Apogonidae. The transcript is spliced from 3 exons.